UGUUAAUAAAUUCGUGCUGCGCCUGCCGAGACCUCGACGACCGCUUAAAAUAGGCUUAAGUGCGCUAUGGAUAUUUUGGAGUCGUUAGCUUUAAAAUCUUCCUACCAUACCAUGUUGACUACUCCAUCUAGUCUUACAAUCCAAUUACAAACAUAAUUUUCUUCCAAACUGAUCUGUUACAAUAUUUUUGGCGGAUAAAUCUCCUUUUUUACUGGAGAUUUUCCGAUCAACUUCACAAUUUUACGGACUUUGUUAAUUAUUUCUUUAUAAUAUUCUACUAAUUCCGUUAAUGAAACUUCGUUUUCAAAUUCGGUGAAUGCUGCAUCGUCCGAUUCAUCCGAGGCAGAAUCCUCCUUUUCGCUUUCAAUCUCAACAGCUAACCGAAGGCUAUGAAGAUAAUACUGCGCUUGUUCUACAAGAAAAACACAAAUUUAUUUAUUUAAGCAAAGUAAAUUUUUAAAUCUUUUAAAUUUAUAACCUAACAACAUCUAGCUCUGCAUUUAACAGUUUCUCCGUUCUUAUGA
This is a long non-coding RNA of Zophobas morio, 524 nucleotides long. RefSeq lists it as uncharacterized. The transcript has 3 exons. NCBI's taxonomy places the organism in Eukaryota, Metazoa, Arthropoda, Insecta, Coleoptera, Tenebrionidae. The record is from RefSeq and is a predicted model, not a curated record.